GCCAGUGUAGCUCAGUGCUUGAGCACUGGACUUCUGAACCAGGAGGUCACGGUUCGAUUCCCUGUUAAGGCA
Molecule: non-coding RNA, 72 nt
Organism: Myotis brandtii (Brandt's bat)
Lineage: Eukaryota; Metazoa; Chordata; Mammalia; Chiroptera; Vespertilionidae
Source: Rfam